RNAcentral lists this ribosomal RNA (279 nucleotides) under uncultured bacterium. RNAcentral describes it as "partial 16S ribosomal RNA". It matches the Rfam family "Bacterial small subunit ribosomal RNA", at positions 506 to 784 of the family's 1533-position model. The record is from RNAcentral.
UGCCAGCAGCCGCUGUACUCCUGAUGGAUCUAUCGUUAUUCGUAAUUACUGGGCGUAAAGCGAGCGUAGGCUGAUUUGUAAGUUGGAUGUGAAAUCCCAGAGCUUAACUCUGGAACUGCAUCCAAAACUAUAUUUCUUGAGUUUGGUAGAGGAGAGUGGAAUUCCUAGUGUAGAGGUGAAAUUCGUAGAUAUUAGGAGGAACACCAGUGGCGAAGGCGACUCUCUGGGCCAAUACUGACGCUGAGGUUCGAAAGCGUGGGUAGCGAACAGGAUUAGAUA